This 490-nucleotide ribosomal RNA is filed under the name uncultured bacterium. RNAcentral's name for it is "partial 16S ribosomal RNA". It matches the Rfam family "Bacterial small subunit ribosomal RNA", at positions 30 to 507 of the family's 1533-position model. The record is from RNAcentral.
AUUGAACGCUGGCGGCAGGCCUAACACAUGCAAGUCGAACGGUAACAGGAAGAAGCUUGCUUCUUUGCUGACGAGUGGCGGACGGGUGAGUAAUGUCUGGGAAACUGCCUGAUGGAGGGGGAUAACUACUGGAAACGGUAGCUAAUACCGCAUAACGUCGCAAGACCAAAGAGGGGGACCUUCGGGCCUCUUGCCAUCGGAUGUGCCCAGAUGGGAUUAGCUAGUAGGUGGGGUAACGGCUCACCUAGGCGACGAUCCCUAGCUGGUCUGAGAGGAUGACAGGCCACACUGGAACUGAGACACGGUCCAGACUCCUACGGGAGGCAGCAGUGGGGAAUAUUGCACAAUGGGCGCAAGCCUGAUGCAGCCAUGCCGCGUGUAUGAAGAAGGCCUUCGGGUUGUAAAGUACUUUCAGCGGGGAGGAAGGGAGUAAAGUUAAUACCUUUGCUCAUUGACGGUACCCGCAGAAGAAGCACCGGCUAACUCCGUG